Molecule: long non-coding RNA, 451 nt
Filed under: Parus major (Great Tit)
Lineage: Eukaryota; Metazoa; Chordata; Aves; Passeriformes; Paridae
Description: lncRNA (ENSPMJG00000015244.1)
Source: RNAcentral
GGUUUUGCUGUCCUUUUUUACUUCUUCACAGGAAAGAAAGGCCUAGAAUAAUUUCUUAUUGUGGCAGUAAAAUCUCAUUUAACAUUCUCAGCUCUUUAUUGUAGAAUGACUUCUAUAUAGCACUACAACUCAUGUGUAAAGAGGAAGGAGAAGGACCUUUGGAAGCCUCUGGUCCCAUCACACCUGAUACAGCUGAAGUUUUCUCACUGCCUGAAUUCUUUAAUUGGAAAAGACUCAAGACAAAUAUGAGAGGCCACCAGAUCCCUUCCUGUCAUCUGAAUGCCAUCCUCUUCUGCAUGGAGGAAGCCCCCUAAGGCCAUCUCAUCUACUUGUAAAAAGUCUCUUUUCUGCUGUGGUGCCUGUAAGAAACUGUUGAACAGCUGCUGUUUAACAGUUUGAGUGAGGUGGCUGUAAAACAGGAGCUAAAAUAAAAGCGUAAGAAACUGAUACA